CAGCAGCCGCGGGAAUACGUAUGUCGCAAGCGUUAAUCGGAAUUACUGGGCGUAAAGCGUGCGCAGGCGGCUAUGCAAGACAGAUGUGAAAUCCCCGGGCUCAACCUGGGAACUGCAUUUGUGACUGCAUGGCUAGAGUACGGUAGAGGGGGAUGGAAUUCCGCGUGUAGCAGUGAAAUGCGUAGAUAUGCGGAGGUACACCGAUGGCGAAGGCAAUCCCCUGGACCUGUACUGACGCUCAUGCACGAAAGCGUGGGGAGCAAACAGGAUUAGAUACCCCGGUAGUCCCUGUCUCUUAUAA
This 301-nucleotide ribosomal RNA is filed under the name uncultured bacterium. Its description in RNAcentral is "partial 16S ribosomal RNA". It matches the Rfam family "Bacterial small subunit ribosomal RNA", at positions 509 to 809 of the family's 1533-position model. The record is from RNAcentral.